This 85-nucleotide transfer RNA is filed under the name Phreatobacter aquaticus. RNAcentral's name for it is "Phreatobacter sp. NMCR1094 tRNA-Leu". It matches the Rfam family "tRNA". From Rfam's summary of the family: Transfer RNA (tRNA) molecules are approximately 80 nucleotides in length. Their secondary structure includes four short double-helical elements and three loops (D, anti-codon, and T loops). The record is from RNAcentral. Lineage: Bacteria; Pseudomonadati; Pseudomonadota; Alphaproteobacteria; Hyphomicrobiales; Phreatobacteraceae.
GCCCCUCUGGCGGAAUUGGUAGACGCACUCGGUUUAGGUCCGAGCGCUUAACGGCUUGCAGGUUCGAGUCCUGUGGGGGGCACCA